Molecule: ribosomal RNA, 249 nt
Filed under: uncultured bacterium
Lineage: Bacteria
Description: partial 16S ribosomal RNA
Rfam family: Bacterial small subunit ribosomal RNA
Source: RNAcentral
UCCCCUACGGGGCGCAGCAGUGAGGAAUAUUGGUCAAUGGCCGGGAGGCUGAACCAGCCAAGUCGCGUGAGGGAAGACGGCCCUACGGGUUGUAAACCUCUUUUGUCAGGGAGCAAGAGGCGGGUCGAGACCUGCUGUGAGAGUACCUGAAGAAAAAGCAUCGGCUAACUCCGUGCCAGCAGCCGCGGUAAUACGGAGGAUGCGAGCGUUAUCCGGAUUUAUUGGGUUUAAAGGGUGCGCCGGCGGAGG